AUCCAUCUGACGAGUCCCAAAAAAGACGAAACGUGCAUCGUACUGGAU
RNAcentral lists this non-coding RNA (48 nucleotides) under Schistosoma mansoni. Lineage: Eukaryota; Metazoa; Platyhelminthes; Trematoda; Strigeidida; Schistosomatidae. The record is from RNAcentral.